AUCGUUCGGGGAGCUUGUACGACAGGCUGAGAGGAAGAUAGACGAUCUUCGACCCUAUUACCUGAUUUAGAUAAUACUAACGUAGGGAAUCGA
This 93-nucleotide non-coding RNA is filed under the name human gut metagenome. RNAcentral describes it as "TPP riboswitch (THI element)". It matches the Rfam family "TPP riboswitch aptamer (THI element)", at positions 6 to 93 of the family's 105-position model. From Rfam's summary of the family: Vitamin B(1) in its active form thiamin pyrophosphate (TPP) is an essential coenzyme that is synthesised by coupling of pyrimidine and thiazole moieties in bacteria. The previously detected thiamin-regulatory element, thi box was extended, resulting in a new, highly conserved RNA secondary structure, the THI element, which is widely distributed in eubacteria and also occurs in some archaea. The record is from RNAcentral.